UACGUAGGGGGCAAGCGUUGUCCGGAUUUAUUGGGCGUAAAGAGCUCGUAGGUGGUUUGGUAAGUCGGAUGUGAAAUCUCCAGGCUCAACCUGGAGGGGUCAUUCGAUACUGCCAUGACUAGAGGUCGGUAGGGGAGUGUGGAAUUCCUGGUGUAGCGGUGAAAUGCGCAGAUAUCAGGAGGAACACCGGUGGCGAAGGCGGGUCUCUGGGCCGAUACUGACGCUGAGGAGCGAAAGCGUGGGGAGCGAACAGG
RNAcentral lists this ribosomal RNA (254 nucleotides) under uncultured bacterium. Its description in RNAcentral is "partial 16S ribosomal RNA". It matches the Rfam family "Bacterial small subunit ribosomal RNA", at positions 524 to 776 of the family's 1533-position model. The record is from RNAcentral.